AAGCAAAGUGUGCAUGUAAAAUAAAGCGAAUGUGUAUUGGCCUGUGCUAGUAUCACAUCAUAUAGAAACCAUUUCUUAGAUCUGUGAUAAGCUGGGAGUAUAUAGACUGCUUUGUCGAUUGCCUCACUAUCUCUUUAACUAUAUAAUCUUUAAGCUUUUGUCAGUGUUGGUUUUUGUAACAUUGACUGUGCCUAGACAUACAGUUCAAACAUUUCUUACCCUAGAUUCACAUGUAAGGGUGCAAC
This is a non-coding RNA of Pelobates cultripes (western spadefoot toad), 245 nucleotides long. The record is from the annotation of a GenBank genome assembly. NCBI's taxonomy places the organism in Eukaryota, Metazoa, Chordata, Amphibia, Anura, Pelobatidae.